RNAcentral lists this ribosomal RNA (253 nucleotides) under uncultured bacterium. RNAcentral describes it as "partial 16S ribosomal RNA". It matches the Rfam family "Bacterial small subunit ribosomal RNA", at positions 524 to 776 of the family's 1533-position model. The record is from RNAcentral.
UACGGAGGGGGCUAGCGUUGUUCGGAAUUACUGGGCGUAAAGCGGGUGUAGGCGGAUCUUUAAGUCGGGGGUGAAAGCCCAGGGCUCAACCCUGGAAUUGCCUUCGAUACUGGAGAUCUCGAGUGUGGGAGAGGUGAGCGGAAUUCCGAGUGUAGAGGUGAAAUUCGUAGAUAUUCGGAGGAACACCAGAGGCGAAGGCGGCUCACUGGACCACAACUGACGCUGAGACCCGAAAGCGUGGGGAGCAAACAGG